RNAcentral lists this long non-coding RNA (204 nucleotides) under Lathyrus oleraceus (garden pea). RNAcentral describes it as "Pisum sativum (pea) long non-coding RNA (PSAT_LNC033349)". Lineage: Eukaryota; Viridiplantae; Streptophyta; Magnoliopsida; Fabales; Fabaceae. The record is from RNAcentral.
ACAACAUAAGUAAUUUGAAUUAUCAUCGUAUAAUACUUGCAUUUUUUCAAAUACCCCUCACGCCAAACACUGUUGCAUUUGAUAAAUAUUUAUAAAUGGUGAGUGUCGCUCAUGUUACCAUAAUAUAGUUAUAGUUCAAUCUGUUAUUCAUACGAAAUAAAAUUGAUUAAUGAAGAAGUCUAUCUAAACUGUUUGUAGUCUUUU